AAUCCAUGCAUCGGACAUUUCUAAAGUAAUUUCUUAAAUAGUUCCUAAGCUUCAUAUAACGUUUCAUCUUCUAAUUUCUGAAAAGAUUUGAUGUCAUUUCUAAGCUU
Gossypium raimondii (Peruvian cotton) is the source of this 107-nucleotide non-coding RNA. NCBI's taxonomy places the organism in Eukaryota, Viridiplantae, Streptophyta, Magnoliopsida, Malvales, Malvaceae. The record is from Rfam.